GCCCUUGCUCAGUAACACGUGGAGAACGUGCCCUUAAGUGGGGGAUAAUCUCGGGAAAUUGAGGAUAAUACCCCAUAGGUCAUGGGAUCUGGAAUGACCCAUGGCUGAAAGUUCCGGCGCUUAAGGAUCGCUCUGCGGCCUAUCAGGUAGUAGUGGGUGUAACGUACCCCCUAGCCUACGACGGGUAUGGGCCUUGAGAGAGGGAGCCCAGAGUUGGAUUCUGAGACACGAAUCCAGGCCCUACGGGGCGCAGCAGUCGCGAAAACUUCACACUGGGGGGAACCCCGAUGAGGGAAUUCCUAGUGCUUGGGCAUUUGUCCAAGCUUUUCCCGAGCGUAGAUAACUCGGGGAAUAAGGGCUGGGUAAGACGGGUGCCAGCCGCCGCGGUAAUACCUGCAGCCCGAGUGGUGGUCGAUUUUAUUGAGUCUAAAGCGUUCGUAGCCGGUCCGUUAAAUCCUUGGGUAAAUCGGGAAGCUCAACUUUCCGACUUCCGAGGAGACUGGCGGACUUGGGACCGGGAGAGGCCAGAGGUACUUCUGGGGUAGGGGUAAAGUCCUGUAAUCCUAGAAGGACCACCGGUGGCGAAGGCGUCUGGCUAGAACGGAUCCGACGGUGAGGGACGAAGCCCUGGGUCGCAAACGGGAUUAGAUACCCCGGUAGUCCAGGGUGUAAACGCUGCCGACUUGGUGUUGGGGGCCCUUCGCGGGAACUCAGUGCCGGAGAGAAGUUGUUAAGUCGGCCACUUGGGGAGUACGUCCGCAAGGAUGAAACUUAAAGGAAUUGGCGGGGGAGCACAAGGGC
Molecule: ribosomal RNA, 801 nt
Filed under: uncultured Thermoplasma sp.
Lineage: Archaea; Methanobacteriati; Thermoplasmatota; Thermoplasmata; Thermoplasmatales; Thermoplasmataceae
Description: bacterial SSU rRNA
Rfam family: Archaeal small subunit ribosomal RNA
Source: RNAcentral